GACGAACGCUGGCGGCGUGCCUAAUACAUGCAAGUAGAACGCUGAAGAGAGGAGCUUCCUCUUCUUGGAUGAGUUGCGAACGGGUGAGUAACGCGUAGGUAACCUGCCUUGUAGCGGGGGAUAACUAUUGGAAACGAUAGCUAAUACCGCAUAACAAUGGAUGACACAUGUCAUUUAUUUGAAAGGGGCAAUUGCUCCACUACAAGAUGGACCUGCGUUGUAUUAGCUAGUAGGUGAGGUAAUGGCUCACCUAGGCGACGAUACAUAGCCGACCUGAGAGGGUGAUCGGCCACACUGGGACUGGGACACGGGCCAGACUCCUACGGGAGGCAGCAGUAGGGAAUCUUCGGCAAUGGGGGCAACCCUGACCGAGCAACGCCGCGUGAGUGAAGAAGGUUUUCGGAUCGUAAAGCUCUGUUGUAAGUCAAGAACGGGUGUGAGAGUGGAAAGUUCACACUGUGACGGUAGCUUACCAGAAAGGGACGGCUAACUACGUG
Molecule: ribosomal RNA, 497 nt
Filed under: uncultured bacterium
Lineage: Bacteria
Description: partial 16S ribosomal RNA
Rfam family: Bacterial small subunit ribosomal RNA
Source: RNAcentral